AUGAUCAGAAGCAGCCAAGGCUAGUACCGGGGAUGGGGGAAGGGGCCGACAGACAUCUAAGGUGAUGGCUUUGGAAGCAGCUGUGGCAGGAAGCCAGGACAACAUUCCAGCACACUCUGCAUGCACAAGGGGAAUGUGGCACGAGGCCCUGAGGACCAACCAAGGCGGGUGGCCCUGGGUAUCCACAGAGUGAAAGGCAAGAACUGGCUCGCUCCGACUGGAGAGUGGAGAGGCCCCGUCCUACCCUGGCCAGGAUGCAGGAUUCUCGAGACAUCUGCCAGAUAGAGCCCAAAUCCCAAUAAAUUCUUAACUUCCAGCA
Molecule: long non-coding RNA, 319 nt
Organism: Erinaceus europaeus (western European hedgehog)
Lineage: Eukaryota; Metazoa; Chordata; Mammalia; Eulipotyphla; Erinaceidae
Exons: 2
Source: RefSeq, a predicted model, not a curated record